GCCUUGGUGGUAGCAUAGGUAUGGAAAACGGCAUUGCACUGAUGCCAUUGGCAGUCUGUGGAAGUUAUGUAGGAUGUGCAUGGACUCUUAGAUAAUAGUUUCUUUUGUUUUACUUCCUUUAUGAAUAUCAACUGUAAAUGUGUGCCCCUUACAUAGUAUUCUUAUUUUUGGUAGUAUUUGUCUAGGUCAAUUUAAAUUAUUGAGAAUACCCCACCAGAGCAAAUGCAUCCUAGAUACAGUCCUGAAACACACCUUCCAUGCAAUGAAUGACUCAGUAAAUAUUGCUGCUUGUUCUUAUGUUUUGCGCCCCCUCACCCACUUUUGGGUAUUUUGUUCUAAACAACUAUUUUUAAAAAUUAAAACUGUAAUAUCAAAAAAAAAAGAAAGAAAGAAACC
RNAcentral lists this long non-coding RNA (396 nucleotides) under Rattus norvegicus (Norway rat). Its description in RNAcentral is "long non-coding RNA NONRATT008642". Lineage: Eukaryota; Metazoa; Chordata; Mammalia; Rodentia; Muridae. The record is from RNAcentral.